This 68-nucleotide transfer RNA is filed under the name Pyrgopsella youngi. RNAcentral describes it as "tRNA-Gln". The record is from RNAcentral. Lineage: Eukaryota; Metazoa; Arthropoda; Thecostraca; Balanomorpha; Pyrgomatidae.
UAAUAAUUAGUUUAUAGGAACAUUGUAAUUUGACUACAAAUGAAGUAGUGUAAUUCUACUAUUAUUAA